AUUGAACGCUGGCGGCAUGCCUUACACAUGCAAGUCGAACGGCAGCGCGGACUUCGGUCUGGCGGCGAGUGGCGAACGGGUGAGUAAUACAUCGGAACGUACCCUGUUGUGGGGGAUAACUAGUCGAAAGAUUAGCUAAUACCGCAUACGACCUGAGGGUGAAAGUGGGGGACCGCAAGGCCUCACGCAGCAGGAGCGGCCGAUGUCUGAUUAGCUAGUUGGUGGGGUAAAGGCCCACCAAGGCGACGAUCAGUAGCUGGUCUGAGAGGACGAUCAGCCACACUGGGACUGGGAAACGGCCCAGACUCCUACGGGAGGCAGCAGUGGGGAAUUUUGGACAAUGGGGGCAACCCUGAUCCAGCAAUGCCGCGGGUGUGAAGAAGGCCUUCGGGUUGUAAAGCACUUUUGUCCGGAAAGAAAUCGCGCUGGUUAAUACCUGGCGUGGAUGACGGUACCGGAAGAAUAAGCACCGGCUAACUACGUGCCAGCCGCCGCCGUAA
Molecule: ribosomal RNA, 500 nt
Filed under: uncultured bacterium
Lineage: Bacteria
Description: partial 16S ribosomal RNA
Rfam family: Bacterial small subunit ribosomal RNA
Source: RNAcentral